Molecule: ribosomal RNA, 896 nt
Filed under: Pseudomonas aeruginosa
Lineage: Bacteria; Pseudomonadati; Pseudomonadota; Gammaproteobacteria; Pseudomonadales; Pseudomonadaceae
Description: bacterial SSU rRNA
Rfam family: Bacterial small subunit ribosomal RNA
Source: RNAcentral
GGCAGCUACACAUGCAGUCGAGCGGAUGAAGGGAGCUUGCUCCUGGAUUCAGCGGCGGACGGGUGAGUAAUGCCUAGGAAUCUGCCUGGUAGUGGGGGAUAACGUCCGGAAACGGGCGCUAAUACCGCAUACGUCCUGAGGGAGAAAGUGGGGGAUCUUCGGACCUCACGCUAUCAGAUGAGCCUAGGUCGGAUUAGCUAGUUGGUGGGGUAAAGGCCUACCAAGGCGACGAUCCGUAACUGGUCUGAGAGGAUGAUCAGUCACACUGGAACUGAGACACGGUCCAGACUCCUACGGGAGGCAGCAGUGGGGAAUAUUGGACAAUGGGCGAAAGCCUGAUCCAGCCAUGCCGCGUGUGUGAAGAAGGUCUUCGGAUUGUAAAGCACUUUAAGUUGGGAGGAAGGGCAGUAAGUUAAUACCUUGCUGUUUUGACGUUACCAACAGAAUAAGCACCGGCUAACUUCGUGCCAGCAGCCGCGGUAAUACGAAGGGUGCAAGCGUUAAUCGGAAUUACUGGGCGUAAAGCGCGCGUAGGUGGUUCAGCAAGUUGGAUGUGAAAUCCCCGGGCUCAACCUGGGAACUGCAUCCAAAACUACUGAGCUAGAGUACGGUAGAGGGUGGUGGAAUUUCCUGUGUAGCGGUGAAAUGCGUAGAUAUAGGAAGGAACACCAGUGGCGAAGGCGACCACCUGGACUGAUACUGACACUGAGGUGCGAAAGCGUGGGGAGCAAACAGGAUUAGAUACCCUGGUAGUCCACGCCGUAAACGAUGUCGACUAGCCGUUGGGAUCCUUGAGAUCUUAGUGGCGCAGCUAACGCGAUAAGUCGACCGCCUGGGGAGUACGGCCGCAAGGUUAAAACUCAAAUGAAUUGACGGGGGCCCGCACAAGCGGUGGA